This 87-nucleotide non-coding RNA is filed under the name Actinotalea ferrariae CF5-4. Its description in RNAcentral is "Cellulomonas sp. Mn5-4 ZMP/ZTP riboswitch aptamer (pfl RNA motif)". It matches the Rfam family "ZMP/ZTP riboswitch aptamer (pfl RNA motif)". From Rfam's summary of the family: Previously known as pfl RNA. ZMP is also known as AICAR. The record is from Rfam by way of RNAcentral. Lineage: Bacteria; Bacillati; Actinomycetota; Actinomycetes; Micrococcales; Cellulomonadaceae. RNAcentral also lists the same sequence under 1 other name.
UGGCCCGGUCGCGACUGGCGCAGGUGGGUCACCACCAGGGAGCGGCACAGCACAGCAGACUCCGGGUCGUUCGCCUGGGCCGCGGGU